UACGUAGGGUGCAAGCGUUGUCCGGAAUUAUUGGGCGUAAAGAGCUCGUAGGCGGUUUGUCGCGUCGAAUGUGAAAACCCGGGGCUCAACCCCGGGCCUGCAUUCGAUACGGGCAGACUAGAGUUCGGUAGGGGAGUCUGGAAUUCCUGGUAUAGGUCGGUGAAAUGCGUAGAUAUUCGGAGGAACACCAGUGGCGAAGGCGGUUCUCUGGGCCUGUUCUGACGCUGAGGAGCGAAAGCGUGGGGAGCAAACAG
This 254-nucleotide ribosomal RNA is filed under the name uncultured bacterium. RNAcentral's name for it is "partial 16S ribosomal RNA". It matches the Rfam family "Bacterial small subunit ribosomal RNA", at positions 524 to 775 of the family's 1533-position model. The record is from RNAcentral.